This is an RNA transcript of Oreochromis niloticus (Nile tilapia), 1311 nucleotides long. It is a transcript of the gene named zinc finger protein 79-like, with no coding region annotated. NCBI's taxonomy places the organism in Eukaryota, Metazoa, Chordata, Actinopteri, Cichliformes, Cichlidae. The transcript is spliced from 4 exons. The record is from RefSeq and is a predicted model, not a curated record.
ACUACAGAGAAAACAAUGAGCUCAACACAGAAGGACCAACAUGGAGCGAGAAGUCAGCGCUCUCAGGAGGCCGACAAACCUCACAGAAGAAAGAGAGAGAAAAAAUACACCUGUGACGAGUGUGGGAUGGAUUUUAUUGGGAAGCCUUCACUAAAACAGCAUCAGGUCAUCCACACUGGAGAGAGACCGUUCAGCUGUGACUUGUGUGAAAAGUCGUUUUCCUGGAAGAAUGCUUUAAGAAGACACCAACUCAUCCACAGUGGAGUUAAAGUGUACAGCUGUGAUCAGUGUGGCAGAGUUUUUACUCACAGUAGCAGCUUACAGAAUCAUCUAGUUACCCACUCUGGAAUUAAGGCAUACAGCUGUGACAUUUGUGGAAAAACCUUCAGUCGGAUAGGGUACCGAAAUAUACACCUACGCAUUCACACCAGACAUGAUGUGUACUGCUGUGAACAGUGUGGCAAACAUUUUACAACAGACGCACAGUUACAACAACACAUGUUUACCCACACUGAGGAGAGACCUUAUAAAUGUGACCUGUGUGAGAAGACUUUUAAAGCUCCACGUCACCUGAGACGACACCAACAGAUCCACACCAGAAAGAGACUCUACAAGUGCAGUUACUGUGAGAAGCAGAGUGACACAGCUGGAUCCAGUUCUCAACCCUGUCAUCACUGUGGUGGUGGGAAAGUGACCUUUGUGGAAAAACUUUCAGUUGGCACGAAACCCUGAAAAUACAUCAACAUAAACACACUGGAGACAAACUGAAAUACUGCAAAGAAUGUGGGAGAAGCUUCACCACAUCAAGUGGAUUAAAACCACAUGAACUCAUUCACAGUGGGGUUAAAAACCACACAGGUACACAUCCUGGGCAGGGAGGAACGCUGGUUUGAGCGCGGAUCAAGGAAGCCAUUUAUGUGAAAAGGGAAAGCCUCUGAAUCAAGGAGGGGGCCUAAAGGUACAUUUAUUUCCUUUGCGACUCCAUUUAAACACAGACAACAAGUAACUACACUAAGCAAAGUAGAAAAUGGUUUGCCCCUUCUCAUCAGCAACACCUGGACAGAAUUACCCUUGACCUUAAAUAACCCCGUACCUACCUCUGCCAUAACCAGUACAUAAAAUGAAAUACAACCCUCUAGUGGUGAUAAAGACAGGGAAAUAAGAAAAAUGUCUCUUACACACCAGCUCCUGAUUACAUGAGGCAGAGGACAUGGCAAUUAUUGAACUUAAAGGAGCCAUGAUGAAUUCGGCUUUAUUAUGUGGUAAGAACAAGUAGUCUGAUGUCCUGUAAUCAUGAUGAUGAUAAAAUUA